CAAUAGCGUAUAUUAAAGUUGUUGCAGUUAAAAAGCUCGUAGUUGGAUUUCUGGUAGGAGCGACCGUGCCGAACUUGAUUGUUCGAGUAUUGUGUUGUCUUAAGCCAUCCUCGUGGAGAACUUUUCUAACAUUAACUUGUUGGGAUUGGGACCCGCGUCGUUUACUGUGAAAAAAUUAGAGUGUUUAAAGCAGGCAUUAGCUUGAAUACAUUAGCAUGGAAUAAUAAGAUAGGACUUUGGUACUAUUUUGUUGGUUUGCAUACCAAAUUAAUGAUCAACAGGAACAGUUUGAGGAUAUUCGUAUGAACAUGUCAGAGGUGAAAUUCUUGGAUUUUGAUCAGACGAACUACUGCGAAAGCAUUUAUCAAGGAUGUUUUCAUUAA
This 383-nucleotide ribosomal RNA is filed under the name uncultured eukaryote. RNAcentral's name for it is "partial 18S ribosomal RNA". It matches the Rfam family "Eukaryotic small subunit ribosomal RNA", at positions 592 to 976 of the family's 1831-position model. The record is from RNAcentral.